CCAGACUCCUACGGGAGGCAGCAGUGGGGAAUAUUGCACAAUGGGGGAAACCCUGAUGCAGCGACGCCGCGUGAGCGAAGAAGUAUUUCGGUAUGUAAAGCUCUAUCAGCAGGGAAGAAAAUGACGGUACCUGAGUAAGAAGCUCCGGCUAAAUACGUGCCAGCAGCCGCGGUAAUACGCAUGGAGCAAGCGUUAUCCGGAUUUACUGGGCGUAAAGGGAGCGUAGGCGGCCUGCCAAGUCUGAUGUGAAAGCCCGCGGCCCAACCGCGGGACUACAUUGGGAACUACCGGGCUGGAGUGCCGGAGAGGUAGGCGGAAUUCCUAGUGUAGCGGUGAAAUGCGUAGAUAUUAGGAGGAACACCAGUGGCGAAGGCGGCCUACUGGACGGUGACUGACGCUGAGGCUCGAAAGCGUGGGGAGCAAACAGGAUUAGAUACCCCAGUAU
RNAcentral lists this ribosomal RNA (445 nucleotides) under uncultured bacterium. RNAcentral describes it as "bacterial SSU rRNA". It matches the Rfam family "Bacterial small subunit ribosomal RNA", at positions 331 to 793 of the family's 1533-position model. The record is from RNAcentral.